This 71-nucleotide transfer RNA is filed under the name Triphoturus mexicanus (Mexican lampfish). RNAcentral's name for it is "tRNA-Met". The record is from RNAcentral. Lineage: Eukaryota; Metazoa; Chordata; Actinopteri; Myctophiformes; Myctophidae.
GGUAAAGUAAGCUAAUGUAAAGCUGCCAGGCCCAUGCCCUUGCAAUGCUGGUGCGACCCCUGCCUUUAUUU